Molecule: ribosomal RNA, 432 nt
Filed under: uncultured bacterium
Lineage: Bacteria
Description: partial 16S ribosomal RNA
Rfam family: Bacterial small subunit ribosomal RNA
Source: RNAcentral
AACGAACGCUGGCGGCAGGCCUAACACAUGCAAGUCGAGCGAGAUCUUCGGGUCUAGCGGCGGACGGGUGAGUAACGCGUGGGAAUAUGCCUCUUGUACGGAAUAGCCUCGGGAAACUGGGAGUAAUACCGUAUGUGCCCUUUGGGGGAAAGAUUUAUCGCCAAGAGAUUAGCCCGCGUUGGAUUAGGUAGUUGGUGGGGUAAUGGCCUACCAAGCCGACGAUCCAUAGCUGGUUUGAGAGGAUGAUCAGCCACACUGGGACUGAGACACGGCCCAGACUCCUACGGGAGGCAGCAGUGGGGAAUCUUAGACAAUGGGGGCAACCCUGAUCUAGCCAUGCCGCGUGAGUGAUGAAGGCCUUAGGGUUGUAAAGCUCUUUCAGCUGGGAAGAUAAUGACGGUACCAGCAGAAGAAGCCCCGGCUAACUCCGUG